RNAcentral lists this ribosomal RNA (510 nucleotides) under uncultured bacterium. Its description in RNAcentral is "partial 16S ribosomal RNA". It matches the Rfam family "Bacterial small subunit ribosomal RNA", at positions 28 to 507 of the family's 1533-position model. The record is from RNAcentral.
GACCAACGCUGGCGGCGUGCUUAACACCUUCCAGUCGAACCAAGCGCGUUGGAAGCUUGCUUCUAUCAACCUUAGUUGCCCACGGGUGUGUAACGCGUAAUCCACCUGCCCCUCACAGGGGGACAAAAGUUGGAAACGACCGCCAAUACCCCAUUCGAUCUAACCUCGGCAUCUAGGAGGGAUGAAAGGCGGCCCCUAUUUAUAAGCCAUCACUGAAGGGGGGGAUUGCGUCUGAUUAGCUAGUUGGAGGGGUAACGGCCCACCAAGGCGAUGAUCAGUAGCCGGUCUGAGAGGAUGAACGGCCACAGUGGGACUGAGACACGGCCCAGACUCCUACGGGAGGCAGCAGUGGGGAAUCUUCCGCAAUGGACGAAAGUCUGACGGAGCAACGCCGCGUGAGUGAUGACGGCCUUCGGGUUGUAAAGCUCUGUUAAUCGGGACGAAAGGCCUUCUUGCGAAUAGUUAGAAGGAUUGACGGUACCGGAAUAGAAAGCCACGGCUAACUACGUG